AAGGCGCCUGAUGCAAUGGCUGGGGCGAAAUGAUUUGCAGAGGCUGAGUACCUUUUUUUUUUUUUUGCAUGGCAGUCUGAUACCCUGGGGUUACAUGCAAAGGAAAUUGGAUGUAGAGGGAAUGAGAGCAGGCUGUAUGAAGUCAUAUUUUACUAUCCAUCAGUUGGAAAGAGGUGGGGUAUCACUUAUUACAGGGAGCUGUGAACACAGCUGAGCUGCUGUGUAACAUGACGACAGGCUGCAUGAGCUAUAAGACCUCCAACAGGGUCUCAUAUGUAGGUGGCAGUGGCUAACUGUGCAACAUACUGUGUAGGCGUGAUUCACUACCUCAACUAUGGAUCUACAUUCAUCAUAAAAAGACCUUCUUCUUCUUCUUCUUGUCAGUAUCUGUAUUCUCACUGCAUACAUCUGUGUGACCUGUGUUAGUCGAGGUUAUCUGUGAUCUCAUGUAUUCCUGUGGGAUCUGCAGCAGUAGGUAAACACAACACUGAAGGCUUACAAUGUCUGUGUGGUCUCCAUUUCUGCUGCAAAUAAAAGACAAAUCAGUGUAUUUUGCUUUGACACAAAAAUAGCUUUUGUGCUGUGGCCCACAUGGUUCCCUCAGUCAAUGCAUUAUUGAUAAUGUUUUGCUGCGAUAACACUGCAAAAGUCCAUUACAGGAUGUUGUGGGACACAAAAGAAAAAAAAAUACUGUAUUCAGAACUGAGAUGCAACCAGGCUUCAUGAUUUUUGUCUAUUGUCGAUAUCAUUGUGUGCAUUAUUUAAAAGCUGAACAGCUGUUUGCACCACCUUGCAUUCAUUUCUCCUGCUUCAUUUGUCUCUUGUUUAUGGAGGGAAAUAGCAUAUCCUCCGAAAGAAAAUGGAAGCAAAUGGAAAAAAGAUUGCAGUCUUGCUUCGGUUGUAACAGUGGUUAGUUUAUGGUAUUACAAUUCUGUCACACUCCUUAGUUCCAGGAUGCAAAUUGGACUUGCACAGCUCAGUGCUAUUAUCCUUGUAAUUUCAAUUGGGCUCAUUUAGGCAUAAACAGGCCUCAGAGAGAGAAUGAGACUGGGGAACACAGAAUUAGCUGGGAGCCAAGUCACAAAGCAUUCAGCACCUGAUUCUCAGCUAGGACAGAUGGCAGGAUUGCAGCACGAUGGCACAAACAUGCAAGAAGACAGAGUGAAAGAGGGAGAGGCAGAACAACACACAAGCGCACACACAAAUAAGCAGCCAUGUCUCUGUGUUCCCUUAGGCCUGUGGCCAAGAAUCGCAAUCUUUCACCAGGAUUAAAGUCUCUGUAUGAAACCUGGGACUGAACAUGACUGAACCCAUCAUAAGACGGUGCCAAAACAGCUGUCGGGGGCUGGUCACGGUACCGGCAGUGAGUCACAGCUCCUGUCCACAGGCCGUCUGUUGCCUUGGUGUGACGGUAAGAGAGAGAUUUUCAAUUCAGUGCCCAUCACGCUCAACCCACCAUGUUCCAAAUCCUCCUCCACCCAAACGUCAUGCACCUCUUGAGCUGUUAGACCUCCUGCGCUAAUAGCAUCCACACAGCUGACGUCCAGAGCUGGUUGCCGGUGCCUGAGGAUCACAUUGCUGUUCACAUCUUAUGCGAAUUCAUGUAUAAGCCAUACCCUGCUUACACAGGCUGGUUUCUCCCGGGCAGUUUUAAUCCAUCAGUACAUAGAUCUGUUUCCCAAUUCUUUCCAAAUCCAAGAUGACGAGCUGAUCUAAUAAAAGCAUGUGCAGACAGACGCCGGUGCUCACACAUUAUCCUCUACAUCUAAUCCUUCCUCUAAUUAGAGAUGCUGUCUUAAAACCUCGAAAAACAACAAAACAAGGAAAAAUGAAUAGAAAGCAUCAAACACCUACUGGGUAUUUUGAUUGUAUGACCAAGUCAAAUAAAUGAGCAUGUUGGUGGAUUUGUAGCUUUAAGACCUUGAUUAUACACUGCAUGUUCACCAUUGUUGUCAUAGCAGAAGCUCUAGACUGAUUUCAUUCCUUCUAGGUAGCCAAGGCUGGUUGCUAGUGAUGGGCACGGCAGUUCUUUUAGAUGUACUAAAUCACUAGAAUCAGUUCACUAAAAGGAUUCAUUCAAAAGAUUUGUUCACCAAAUAACAGAAUCAUGUAGCGUUUGGUGGGAGAAGCCUGCGACCCCGACCUCCUGAACUGAUACACAGCUAGAGUGUUUGGAUGUGUUGCUUUGGUAAACAGGUUUGUAAAAAUGAACUUGUUCAUAGGUCAUGAUGUUUUACUGUCCUAUGGUAUGCUAUUUAUCAGGUAAAUUGGGAUCAGUGAGUGAUUCGUUCACUGAACGUGAACCAUUCCCUCGCAAAUCGUUGCAAUGAUAGGAUGUUGCGGGUUUUAUGCACUACUUGUUACAUGCUGUGUCCUAUUGUUUUUUAGUUUUUGUGGUGGCAAUUGAGCAGUAAAAAAAAUAAAAUAAAAAAAAGGUAGCUUUGUCCGACAAAAAUGAUUCCAGAGAAUGUAGUUCAAUGCGUGAUUCGUUCACCAAGUGAUUCAGAUGUCGUUGCAUGCGGUCCCUCGUUCCUGGCUGCUCGACUGGCAAUGCUGUUUCUCACUUCAGCUCAACUGAAGUGAGAAACAAACGAAUCACUCGAGGAAGUGACUCAGUUCAGUACAUUCACUUAAAAGAUUUGGUUCUUUUGAAUGAAUCAUUCGCGAAUGAAACAACAUUACUGGUUUUAUGUUCGUACCUCAGGGAGGUCGACAGAGAAAUUAGACUAUUUUUCAAGCAGGCUGACCUGCAAUGACAGUGGCACCAAACUCACUAUAAAUAUUUGCUAGGCAAAAAUACAUCUUGUUAAGCAACAUAUGCACACAAAAAAUGUUAAUUGAUCGAACAAGUUCUAUCAAGAUGAACUUCACAUAGUAGAUCCAACAGUUUGAGAGCUUUACUGAUGUUCCCUCAGCUAUCCAAGCCUUUGUAGUGGUGACUAAUGAAAGUAAGCUAGUUACAGACAGUUAGUCCAUACAAAGAAAGAGGACAAGGUAUAAAUGAACUUAUAUUUUAUUCAGUACAAACGCUACAGUUUGAAGGAGUUCACUGAUCUAAGCAAAGCUACAGCAGUAACAGAGAAAGGCAGUGAACUAGUUUUUAACACUUAAGAGGUAGACAAUUAAAUAUUAAGAUAUUUUCAAGUGAUUAGACAAGUCAAAAUAAGAUAUACAGCACAAAGAGAAGGGCUUUGAAAGUUACUGUUAGGAGAAGUUUGAUUACCAACGGGCUGCUAGCUCAACUGUAGUGACUAUAAAUAAGCUAGCUUCGAACACUUUGUACACAAUGAGUAGACAAAUAAAACUACUGUAUUUUUAACAAGUUGAAAUGCCAUAAACAUCACAAGGUGGAAAAGCUAAAAAGUAAGCUAGCUAUAUUAACUUUUUUUGGAUACAAUUAACUGGAAAAAGAAUAAAUGUAAGAAAAUCAAAACAGGCUUUUCCUUUAAUUUUUAUAUUGUCUGUUUAAAUCAAUUUCAGGGGACAUACUCAUCUGCACUUGCCCCAUGCUGCUUUGAUUUGGUGGCUAUCUUUCACUAUCCCUAUCUGCCAUAUCCCUAUCUCUAAACUGCCGUAGAGAUGCUACUAAAACUGAUUUAUUUCCUAGUACCAUCUGAAAAAUACUGUACUUCUUUCUAACAGCUAAAAAUAUUCAACACUUCAGUGCCUGAAAUUGAAAUCUUGAAUCAUUUCAGCCUCACCAGGAAAAGCCUUAAUGAGGACGUCUUCUCAUGAUGUAGUUAUAACUUGACAGUCCAGAAGACAAAAGAAGAGAUGUUGACAGUCAGAGAGAUAAAAUAAGUUAAUUUCAAUUCUCUAAAAGAUGAUUAAAAGAUUAAAUCAUAAUUGACUGUAAUGUAGCGAGGGCUUCAGUCACAGGGCUGUUGAUUUGUUCCUCAAAGUUUUGGGUGAUGAGGAAAGAAGGAACAAAUAUAAAAAAUGAGUUUGUUGAGUAAAGAGAAAAGUGACAGACAUCUCCUCUGUGACCUUUAUUAUUAUUUUAUAGACCUGGUAAUGAGGCGGAGACUGUUUCUGUUUCUGCUCUCACUAUUUUUGUCUUGAAUUCAUCACUGUCGCAGCAUUGACUUUGGCACGAAGGUGGCAUCUUUUUUUGUUUGUUUGUGUGUGACACCACCUUCUCCUUUACCUCACCUCCCCAUUAUCUUUGCACAGUCAUCCCUUCCCUCUCGACUCUCCUCUUUUGUCUUUCAGUGAACAUUUAUUGCCUUGCUGCAUUUAAAUCUGCCUUUCUCCUCUCGCUCUUCACAUUCGCAGCUUCCCUCUUGCUCUGUUUACUUUCUCUCGCUCUCUUUUUUGACACCAUCCACCAGUUUUCUCUCACUUCUCUUUCAUAUUCCAUCACUCACUGUAAUAGUCUGCUGCUUCCAAUCCUGUCUUUGUGUUUUUUGUUGGACAUCACUACUCUUCCUUAUAUAAAGGCAGGUGCACCGGGGUAGGUUUCUUGUCUCUAGGGGACAGGGUGUUAAUGAUGCUUUAAUAAGUCCUUAGUACACAAGGUUGGAGUAAAAAAAAUGGAGAACAGAAAGAAAGAAAGAGAGAGGGAGGCAUUGGAGGGCUGCCACAGAUGCUGAAUGGGCAACUUUUAAGCAUUUCAGAUAAAAGCAAAGAGAGAUAUUAUAACAUUUUUGUUGACUAAAAAAGCAUAUCAGCGACAUUUCAAAAUGAAACCACUCAAACUUUUACAAAACAACUCACCCAAGCUGCCAAUUUGAGGAAACUCUGCAGAGCUCGCAGAAUAAACCCAGGAUAUUGGAUGGCCUGGCAGAGGCUUUCUGAGGUGCCACUUUAGGAUCACUCUCUCUGAGCAAGUGUCCUCUCUCUAAGGGACAAACUGUGACACAUUUUCACAGACAAAUCCUCUUCCCAACCCUGGCUGAUGCUGUGUGCCGAGAGUUGUAGAAGUUUUAGAGAGCUAUGAAUUGAUCUGUAAUUGGCUCGGCGUGCUUUGCAGUGAAAGCACACCCACUGACUCCUGUAACAUAUGGACACUUUAGCGGGAACACAGAUCAGAGAUGUCAAGAGGUGUAAGUGUAGUGAGCGAAAAGGUACUCCAAAGGCAUUAUCCAAUAAACCUGAAAUGUUGUAUCAUUUCUUUUUAUUUCUUCUCCCAUAUCCUGAGCUGUCAACCCAGCCCUUAACACUGAAACAACUGUCCUUUUGUUUAUUUGUCCGCUGUUGAUGGAGCGGCGGGGAAAGCUGGACAAGCCUAGGGAGUGGAGAAAGCGGAAAAUUACAAAACAAAAGUAAUGUUGUAUUGAAGCUGACUUAAAUCUAGCAAAUGAGACAAUAAACUUAAAAGAAAAUGUGAUUAAAUAUUAACCUUCUAAUUGAUUUCAAUGUGAUUUUUUGCAGUCGGAGCUAUUGCCCCCUGCUGGCCAUAAUAAGAAUGCAGGUUAACUCUUAACAAGGUAUCUAAUGUUUGUUGAAUACAUUUAACAUGGGAAAAGAUUAGGCUGUUAUAAAAUGUAAGGUUUUCUCAUAGACUGUAUAUACUAUGGACCACUUGGUUCCGCCUUCCGCCUGUGUAGGGAUUUGAACGCGGAAAGGCUCUGAGUAAUUCCACGUUUUUUCUCCACUUCCUGAAGCCAACAUUGCACAGUAGCAUUGUACGCACUCCACCACCUGCGCAGUAGCAUUGUACGCAUUCAGCGGGAGAGUCUCUGUGAUGACACUCAGCUCAAACAGUGUAUCCCUUGGGUGAGCUACCAAGUGUCAAUCAUAGAAAACAUGAACCCCCCAAUAACUUAAAAAUGGAGCUGCACAGAAAAAAGAGGACUUGAGCACAAACCAGUCUUACAGUAACUACAUGUUAACAUCGCAGGCAGGGGGGAGAAAAAUUUAUAUUCUGUGUAAUAAAUGUCUAAAGUUUGUCCAUGAAACUGCAGUUCCUCAAACGUCCACUUGAGGCAUGCCAAAAAAAAACAUUCAGACACAUGUUAAAAUACCAAUAAUUAUCACAAUAAUUAACAUGUUUACGGUAUGUUUUGGCCUCUACACCUAUAGUGUAACAGCGUAUACAUUUCAAUCAUGGGUCAAACGAGUUUUAGACAUUAUGGCUCUGAGUGAUAGGUGGAUACUGCUGGCUGCCAACAUAGCUUUAGCUUCUUAGCUGCGUUAGGGUUGUUGUUUGGAUUUUUAAUUAAAAUAUCUAACAAAUAUCGAUGUAUUUUGUGUGUUUUAUAAAACUAAUUCUCAUUCCAAGAAGUCUGUGUUAAAGCAUUUAUCGUAAGUAGAACUCUGAUACUUGUGUAUUGACGUUUUUGCAUGUAACAGAUGCGCUUAGCUCGUCACUCUUGGCAUGUUAGCUCACUCAGUGUUCGUCAUAUAUUUAUAUAUCAAUGCUGUAGGACAGAAAAUAGAUAGAUGUACUUUUUUUUAAUAGAAGUUGUCAGCUUUUUCCUGGAGAAAUAACGGCAGAUGGUAUUGAUGAGAGACAGAUUAUUUCCAGUUACAUUGUACACGUUGGUCAGCUGUCACUCUAUCACUAGAGAUUCGAGCUGGUGAACAGCUACUCCGCUUGUUUGUUGGCAAGUGAAUUAGCCAUGAUUGUGGACUGUAAAACUUUGACAGUUUAGUCUUACUUCCAGUUUUAUCCUUUCAUCCAAAUAUUUUAACUUCUGGCUCCUUGAAUCCAAUAUGGCUGCCUCUAGUGGCUCAAAGUAAAUGCUUUAUUCACUCAUUCAAAAAAGCAAAAGUUUUAUCUCUAAGCUCCCUGAAAAAUAUCACUUCCCAAGCCGCGAAUACCCCAAGAGGGACGAGUUCACACAGACUCUUCCCCUGAACAGAGUAAACACAACCCCAUUUGAAGGAGCCGUAAAUCAGUUAUAUAUCUCUUCCAGGCAGCUUUCUGCAUGAACUCCUCAUCGGUGUAAUGCAUCGUGCUCGUAUUAGCUGGCUGAGAGCAGAAUUAGCAGACAAUUGGGCUUAAUGAAGGCAGCGUGGGUUCCUUUGGGGAAACGCAGCCUUCCAGACUAGUUGGCUGAAAGCUGCAUCAUCUACAGGAAGAAAAUCUCAAGUUACCCCGAGGCUGAAAGGAGCCUGUCUUCUCUGACUCCAGGCAACUUCCCUCUCCUGCCCUUUACUCGACAAAUGAACAAUUGCCUGGUUGAAGAAAAGUGUUGAUGUCUCUUUACGUCUCUUUCAGGUCCGUCAGUUUGAAACUAUAUGAACUCAAGGGGUUAAUAGAAG
RNAcentral lists this long non-coding RNA (7209 nucleotides) under Xyrichtys novacula (pearly razorfish). Lineage: Eukaryota; Metazoa; Chordata; Actinopteri; Labriformes; Labridae. The record is from RNAcentral.